UACGGGGGGGGCAAGCGUUGUUCGGAAUUACUGGGCGUAAAGGGCUCGUAGGCGGCCAACUAAGUCAGACGUGAAAUCCCCAGGCUCAACUUGGGAACUGCGUCUGAUACUGGAUGGCUUGAAUUCGGGAGAGGGAUGCAGAAUUCCAGGUGUAGCGGUGAAAUGCGUAGAUAUCUGGAGGAAUACCGGUGGCGAAGGCGGCAUCCUGGACCGACAUUGACGCUGAUGAGCGAAAGCUAGGGGAGCAAACAGG
RNAcentral lists this ribosomal RNA (253 nucleotides) under uncultured bacterium. RNAcentral's name for it is "partial 16S ribosomal RNA". It matches the Rfam family "Bacterial small subunit ribosomal RNA", at positions 524 to 776 of the family's 1533-position model. The record is from RNAcentral.